CCUACUUAACUCAGUGGUUAGAGUAUCGCU
RNAcentral lists this transfer RNA (30 nucleotides) under Chamaecyparis lawsoniana (Lawson's cypress). RNAcentral describes it as "partial tRNA-Met". Lineage: Eukaryota; Viridiplantae; Streptophyta; Pinopsida; Cupressales; Cupressaceae. The record is from RNAcentral.